Molecule: ribosomal RNA, 352 nt
Filed under: uncultured bacterium
Lineage: Bacteria
Description: bacterial SSU rRNA
Rfam family: Bacterial small subunit ribosomal RNA
Source: RNAcentral
AAGGGGAGCAAUCCCUGAGUAAAGUGGCGACCGGGUGAGUAACACGUGACUAACCUACCUUCGAGUGGGGGAUAACCUAGGGAAACCUGGGCUAAUACCGCAUAACAUCUUUGGAGUGGAAACUCUGGAGAUCAAAGGGGCAAUUCGCUUGAAGAGGGGGUCGCGGCUGAUUAGCUAGUUGGCGGGGUAAUGGCCCACCAAGGCUUUGAUCGGUAGCCGGCCUGAGAGGGCGCACGGCCACACUGGAACUGAAACACGGUCCAGACUCCUACGGGAGGCAGCAGUGGGGAAUUUUGCGCAAUGGGGGAAACCCUGACGCAGCAACGCCGCGUGGAGGAUGAAGUCCCUUGGG